This 910-nucleotide ribosomal RNA is filed under the name uncultured bacterium. RNAcentral's name for it is "bacterial SSU rRNA". It matches the Rfam family "Bacterial small subunit ribosomal RNA", at positions 101 to 998 of the family's 1533-position model. The record is from RNAcentral.
AACGGGUGAGUAACGCGUGGGUAACCUACCUUUCAGCGGGGGAUAACUAUUGGAAACGAUAGCUAAUACCGCAUAACAAUGUUGGAUGCAUAUUCGACAUUUGAAAGUAUCAAUUGGUACACUGAGAGAUGGACCCGCGUUGUAUUAGCUAGUUGGUAGUGUAAUGGACUACCAAGGCGAUGAUACAUAGCCGACCUGAGAGGGUGAUCGGCCACAUUGGGACUGAGACACGGCCCAAACUCCUACGGGAGGCAGCAGUAGGGAAUCUUCGGCAAUGGACGAAAGUCUGACCGAGCAACGCCGCGUGAGUGAAGAAGGUUUUCGGAUCGUAAAACUCUGUUGUUAGAGAAGAACGUUGCAUAGAGUGGAAAAUUAUGCAAGUGACGGUAUCUAACCAGAAAGGGACGGCUAACUACGUGCCAGCAGCCGCGGUAAUACGUAGGUCCCGAGCGUUGUCCGGAUUUAUUGGGCGUAAAGCGAGCGCAGGUGGUUUAAUAAGUCUGAUGUAAAAGGCAGUGGCUCAACCAUUGUGUGCAUUGGAAACUGUUAGACUUGAGUGCAGUAGAGGAGAGUGGAAUUCCAUGUGUAGCGGUGAAAUGCGUAGAUAUAUGGAGGAACACCGGUGGCGAAAGCGGCUCUCUGGACUGUCACUGACACUGAGGCUCGAAAGCGUGGGUAGCAAACAGGAUUAGAUACCCUGGUAGUCCACGCCGUAAACGAUGAGUGCUAGUUGUUUGGGGCUAUCCAGCCCUAAGUGACGCAGCAAACGCAUUAAGCACUCCGCCUGGGGAGUACGACCGCAAGGUUGAAACUCAAAGGAAUUGACGGGGGCCCGCACAAGCGGUGGAGCAUGUGGUUUAAUUCGAAGCAACGCGAAGAACCUUACCAGGUCUUGACAUACUCGUGCUAU